GAUGAACGCUGGCGGCGUGCUUAACACAUGCAAGUCGAACGGAAAGGCCCAAGCUUGCUUGGGUACUCGAGUGGCGAACGGGUGAGUAACACGUGGGUGAUCUGCCCUGCACUUCGGGAUAAGCCUGGGAAACUGGGUCUAAUACCGGAUAGGACGAUGGUCUGGAUGCCAUUGUGGAAAGAUUUUUCGGUGUUGGGUGAGCUCGCGGCCUAUCACCUUGUUGGUGGGGUGUGGGCGUACAAAGGGGCCGUGGGGUGGCGGCCGUCUGAGGGGGUGCGCGGACAUUGGGACUGAGAUACGGCGCAGACUCCUACGGGGGGCAGAGGUGGGGAGUAUUGCACAAUGUGCGCGAGCCUGAUGCGGCGACGCCGCGUGGGGGAUGACGGCGCUCGGGUUGUAUACUCCUUUCGCUAGGGACGAAGCGUGUUUGUGACGGUACCUGGUGAAGAAGCACCGGCUAACUACGUG
RNAcentral lists this ribosomal RNA (468 nucleotides) under uncultured bacterium. RNAcentral describes it as "partial 16S ribosomal RNA". It matches the Rfam family "Bacterial small subunit ribosomal RNA", at positions 28 to 507 of the family's 1533-position model. The record is from RNAcentral.